AUAUGACGGUUCUACCGAUCCAGUUGAUCACCUUAAGAGCUACAAGGCUCUCAUGACAAUCCAAAGGGCAACCGAUGCCCUUCUAUGCAUUGGCUUCCUGGCCACACUUCAGAAAGCUGCUCGAGCCUGAUACUCUGGACUUCGGUCGGGAAGCAUCUAUUCUUUCGGAUAGUUGGAACACUCUUUCAUGGCACACUUCAAUACC
RNAcentral lists this long non-coding RNA (205 nucleotides) under Elaeis guineensis (African oil palm). Its description in RNAcentral is "long non-coding RNA (EGUI_LNC025129)". The record is from RNAcentral. Lineage: Eukaryota; Viridiplantae; Streptophyta; Magnoliopsida; Arecales; Arecaceae.